RNAcentral lists this long non-coding RNA (541 nucleotides) under Mus caroli (Ryukyu mouse). Its description in RNAcentral is "RIKEN cDNA 1700071M16 gene (MGP_CAROLIEiJ_G0003027.1)". Lineage: Eukaryota; Metazoa; Chordata; Mammalia; Rodentia; Muridae. The record is from RNAcentral.
AGUACAUAUGGCCUCCUACACAAAGAUGAUCCUUGGGCCAGCAGCAUGGCUGUCACCUAGGGAUUUGUAAACGCAGACUCCUGGUUUGAAUUCAACUGAAUCAAAAAGAUUCAAAGUAGGCUGAUUCAAGAUGAAGAAAUGCUGUGGCACAGCCCAGAUCUCUUGGCCUGCCACAUUGGUAAAGCAGUGAGAGGGGGCAGUUUGAAGAAUGAAGGUGAAGCAGAGUGGAGCCCGGUAUUGGAUCCAGGAACGUGUUCACCUGGAAUUUAGGAGUCACAGGUACCACUCUGGGUACAGAAAAGGAGGAGCAUCUUGCAAUUUGCACAUCACAUGAAUCUGCAUCUCCAUCUAUCCAUCUAUCUGAAAACAUCAUAAGGAAAAAGAGGCGGAUCAGACCAACUAUAGCUUGGUCUGUGCUAUAGUUUGUGGCCCAGAGUUCAUCUCUUCUCAAUCCUCUUCAACUUUAUGUGAAUAGGAACUUUGAACCCUGUAGGACGCUACUUGGUAUAUCUAGGAAAUACAGCUAUUCAGGUUACAAUUU